CAUUGGGCCCUGCAAACAUAUAGGUCUGGACAUGAAAGAACUGAUGACUCUGUCUCUAUAGGGUUGCAGUUUUGGACCGAGUCACAGACUUCCUGUUGUUUCUGGGCAAAGUGCUGAUAGCAGGAGGAGUUGGUGUGGUUGCAUUCUUCUUCUUUACUAGGAAGAUCCCUGUUAUCCAGGAGGAGGAGCCCAACCUCAACUACUACUGGGUCCCCCUGCUGACGGUGGUGAUGGGUGCCUACCUGAUCGCUCAUGGUUUCUUCAGCGUCUAUGCCAUCUGUGUUGACACGCUCUUCCUCUGCUUCUGUGAUGACUUGGAGAGGCAUGAUGGGAGUUCAGAAAAACCUUUCCUCAUGUCCCCAGAGCUGCACAGAAUUUUGGGGAAAUCCAGUCAGUCGCGUUGAUAUGCGAUCCUCCUGUCCCGUCCCUGAGCAGCCAGUGUGCUGAGUGGACCAUGCUCUCUGUAACACUGCACAGGGCUGACAGGUCUGGCUGCUAGGCAACAUGAGGAGCAGCAGGAGCAGCAUGCCUCAUGAUAACCACUCAGCAACAGUGACAGCACAUGUCAGACAUGUAUGGAACCAAUAGGAAGGUCAGAAUCAAAGACUUCUCAAAGUUCCCUUCCAGUGAGGCCGCUGCGGUGUUUAGUGCUGCCGUCAUUGGUCUAAAGUCACGUUUAAGCCCUGAAAUGAGUAAGUGAGAAGAACCUUGUUUUGUAUUAAGAUUCAGUUCAUGUGUUUGAAAAAGCCUCCUUUGAACUUGUAAUUGUACCUUUUAAUGUGUUGUGUGUUUUGGAUGAAUGUUUGAAAAAAUGUUUGGCAAAAAACUGAAAAUGUAUGAAAAUCAGUUUGUACCAAAAGCUCCACCUCAAGUUUCACAUCAUGUAUACACCCUGUUCCUUUUAUAAGAUGGAUUGAUUUUGUAUUGGGUCUUUGGUUUUUUUUAUUUGUAAAGCUGAUUCAAGUAAAAUACAAUAAAAA
Molecule: long non-coding RNA, 980 nt
Organism: Sander lucioperca (pikeperch)
Lineage: Eukaryota; Metazoa; Chordata; Actinopteri; Perciformes; Percidae
Exons: 4
Source: RefSeq, a predicted model, not a curated record